RNAcentral lists this ribosomal RNA (554 nucleotides) under Kocuria palustris. RNAcentral's name for it is "bacterial SSU rRNA". It matches the Rfam family "Bacterial small subunit ribosomal RNA", at positions 8 to 571 of the family's 1533-position model. The record is from RNAcentral. Lineage: Bacteria; Bacillati; Actinomycetota; Actinomycetes; Micrococcales; Micrococcaceae.
AGAGUUUGAUCCUGGCUCAGGACGAACGCUGGCGGCGUGCUUAACACAUGCAAGUCGAACGCUGAAGCACCAGCUUGCUGGUGUGGAUGAGUGGCGAACGGGUGAGUAAUACGUGAGUAACCUGCCCUUGACUCUGGGAUAAGCCCGGGAAACUGGGUCUAAUACUGGAUGCUACAUGUCACCGCAUGGUGGUGUGUGGAAAGGGUUUACUGGUCUUGGAUGGGCUCACGGCCUAUCAGCUUGUUGGUGAGGUAAUGGCUCACCAAGGCGACGACGGGUAGCCGGCCUGAGAGGGUGACCGGCCACACUGGGACUGAGACACGGCCCAGACUCCUACGGGAGGCAGCAGUGGGGAAUAUUGCACAAUGGGCGAAAGCCUGAUGCAGCGACGCCGCGUGAGGGAUGACGGCCUUCGGGUUGUAAACCUCUUUCAGCAGGGAAGAAGCCACAAGUGACGGUACCUGCAGAAGAAGCGCCGGCUAACUACGUGCCAGCAGCCGCGGUAAUACGUAGGGCGCAAGCGUUGUCCGGAAUUAUUGGGCGUAAAGAGCUCG